This 1333-nucleotide ribosomal RNA is filed under the name bacterium SCSIO16360. RNAcentral's name for it is "bacterial SSU rRNA". It matches the Rfam family "Bacterial small subunit ribosomal RNA", at positions 68 to 1394 of the family's 1533-position model. The record is from RNAcentral.
UGAACCUUCGGGGAACGAUAACGGCGUCGAGCGGCGGACGGGUGAGUAAUGCCUGGGAAAUUGCCCUGAUGUGGGGGAUAACCAUUGGAAACGAUGGCUAAUACCGCAUAAUAGCUUCGGCUCAAAGAGGGGGACCUUCGGGCCUCUCGCGUCAGGAUAUGCCCAGGUGGGAUUAGCUAGUUGGUGAGGUAAUGGCUCACCAAGGCGACGAUCCCUAGCUGGUCUGAGAGGAUGAUCAGCCACACUGGAACUGAGACACGGUCCAGACUCCUACGGGAGGCAGCAGUGGGGAAUAUUGCACAAUGGGCGCAAGCCUGAUGCAGCCAUGCCGCGUGUAUGAAGAAGGCCUUCGGGUUGUAAAGUACUUUCAGCAGUGAGGAAGGUGAUAGUGUUAAUAGCACUAUCAUUUGACGUUAGCUGCAGAAGAAGCACCGGCUAACUCCGUGCCAGCAGCCGCGGUAAUACGGAGGGUGCGAGCGUUAAUCGGAAUUACUGGGCGUAAAGCGCAUGCAGGUGGUUUGUUAAGUCAGAUGUGAAAGCCCGGGGCUCAACCUCGGAAUUGCAUUUGAAACUGGCAGACUAGAGUACUGUAGAGGGGGGUAGAAUUUCAGGUGUAGCGGUGAAAUGCGUAGAGAUCUGAAGGAAUACCGGUGGCGAAGGCGGCCCCCUGGACAGAUACUGACACUCAGAUGCGAAAGCGUGGGGAGCAAACAGGAUUAGAUACCCUGGUAGUCCACGCCGUAAACGAUGUCUACUUGGAGGUUGUGGCCUUGAGCCGUGGCUUUCGGAGCUAACGCGUUAAGUAGACCGCCUGGGGAGUACGGUCGCAAGAUUAAAACUCAAAUGAAUUGACGGGGGCCCGCACAAGCGGUGGAGCAUGUGGUUUAAUUCGAUGCAACGCGAAGAACCUUACCUACUCUUGACAUCCAUAGAACUUUCCAGAGAUGGAUUGGUGCCUUCGGGAACUAUGAGACAGGUGCUGCAUGGCUGUCGUCAGCUCGUGUUGUGAAAUGUUGGGUUAAGUCCCGCAACGAGCGCAACCCUUAUCCUUGUUUGCCAGCGAGUAAUGUCGGGAACUCCAGGGAGACUGCCGGUGAUAAACCGGAGGAAGGUGGGGACGACGUCAAGUCAUCAUGGCCCUUACGAGUAGGGCUACACACGUGCUACAAUGGCGCAUACAGAGGGCGGCCAACUUGCGAAAGUGAGCGAAUCCCAAAAAGUGCGUCGUAGUCCGGAUUGGAGUCUGCAACUCGACUCCAUGAAGUCGGAAUCGCUAGUAAUCGUAGAUCAGAAUGCUACGGUGAAUACGUUCCCGGGCCUUGUACACACCGCC